RNAcentral lists this unclassified non-coding RNA (240 nucleotides) under soil metagenome. RNAcentral's name for it is "partial contains 5.8S ribosomal RNA, internal transcribed spacer 2, and large subunit ribosomal RNA". The record is from RNAcentral.
AACCAUAGAAACCUGCGGAGUACCUGCGGAAGGAUCAUUACAGAGUUGCAAAACUCCCACAAACCAUCGCGAAUCUUACCCGUACGGUUGCCUCGGCGCUGGCGGUCCGGAAGGCCCUCGGGCCCCCGGACCCUCGGGUCUCCCGCUCGCGGGAGGCUGCCCGCCGGAGUGCCGAAACCAAACUCUUGAUAUUUUAUGUCUCUCUGAGUAAACUUUUAAAUAAGUCAAAACUUUUAGCAA